GCGGCGCUAUGCGGGGCUGCUCUCCUGGGCUGCUCUCCCAGUUGGAGUGGUAGUCAAACCCUGUUUGAACACUUCCAGCCGUGGGCAAAUCAUCACCUCACACAGCAUCCACUGACAGGCUGGCAGUGUUUGUGGGAAGAGAAGUAGUAACGGCCACUGAGACCAGAAGGUGGAACUUAGCUGGGAGGCUCUCCUUGGCCUGGGAGGUGAAAAGGCACAGAGCACAGGCUGGUACUGAGGCUCUGAAACACCAAGCCCUUCAAGCGUGAUGGAGGGAGCUGCUUUAUUAUUAAAUGGCAUUGUCCCCAAGGAGUGGCAACUCUCCACCUCUCCCUGAAAACACAGCUCCCUAGAGAAGGUAUCUCUUUCCAACUACUGUGCCUUCAAUCUCCAACCUCAAUUGUU
Molecule: long non-coding RNA, 405 nt
Organism: Pongo pygmaeus (Bornean orangutan)
Lineage: Eukaryota; Metazoa; Chordata; Mammalia; Primates; Hominidae
Exons: 3
Source: RefSeq, a predicted model, not a curated record